UGCAGUCGAACGAGCGAGAGAGAGCUUGCUUUCUCAAGCGAGUGGCGAACGGGUGAGUAACGCGUGAGGAACCUGCCUCAAAGAGGGGGACAACAGUUGGAAACGACUGCUAAUACCGCAUAAGCCCACGACUCGGCAUCGGGUAGAGGGAAAAGGAGCAGUCCGCUUUGAGAUGGCCUCGCGUCCGAUUAGCUAGUUGGUGAGGUAAUGGCCCACCAAGGCGACGAUCGGUAGCCGGACUGAGAGGUUGAACGGCCACAUUGGGACUGAGACACGGCCCAGACUCCUACGGGAGGCAGCAGUGGGGAAUAUUGCACAAUGGGGGAAACCCUGAUGCAGCGACGCCGCGUGGAGGAAGAAGGUCUUCGGAUUGUAAACUCCUGUUGUUGAGGAAGAUAAUGACGGUACUCAACAAGGAAGUGACGGCUAACUACGUGCCAGCAGCCGCGGUAAAACGUAGGUCACAAGCGUUGUCCGGAAUUACUGGGUGUAAAGGGAGCGCAGGCGGGAAGACAAGUUGGAAGUGAAAUCCAUGGGCUCAACCCAUGAACUGCUUUCAAAACUGUUUUUCUUGAGUAGUGCAGAGGUAGGCGGAAUUCCCGGUGUAGCGGUGGAAUGCGUAGAUAUCGGGAGGAACACCAGUGGCGAAGGCGGCCUACUGGGCACCAACUGACGCUGAGGCUCGAAAGUGUGGGUAGCAAACAGGAUUAGAUACCCUGGUAGUCCACACUGUAAACGAUGAUUACUAG
This 749-nucleotide ribosomal RNA is filed under the name uncultured bacterium. Its description in RNAcentral is "bacterial SSU rRNA". It matches the Rfam family "Bacterial small subunit ribosomal RNA", at positions 56 to 819 of the family's 1533-position model. The record is from RNAcentral.